RNAcentral lists this ribosomal RNA (474 nucleotides) under uncultured organism. RNAcentral's name for it is "partial 16S ribosomal RNA". It matches the Rfam family "Bacterial small subunit ribosomal RNA", at positions 335 to 800 of the family's 1533-position model. The record is from RNAcentral.
ACUCCUACGGGAGGCAGCAGUGGGGAAUUUUGGACAAUGGGCGAAAGCCUGAUCCAGCCAUGCCGCGUGCAGGAUGAAGGCCUUCGGGUUGUAAACUGCUUUUGUACGGAACGAAACGGCCUUUUCUAAUAAAGAGGGCUAAUGACGGUACCGUAAGAAUAAGCACCGGCUAACUACGUGCCAGCAGCCGCGGUAAUACGUAGGGUGCAAGCGUUAAUCGGAAUUACUGGGCGUAAAGCGUGCGCAGGCGGUUAUGUAAGACAGUUGUGAAAUCCCCGGGCUCAACCUGGGAACUGCAUCUGUGACUGCAUAGCUAGAGUACGGUAGAGGGGGAUGGAAUUCCGCGUGUAGCAGUGAAAUGCGUAGAUAUGCGGAGGAACACCGAUGGCGAAGGCAAUCCCCUGGACCUGUACUGACGCUCAUGCACGAAAGCGUGGGGAGCAAACAGGAUUAGAUACCCUUGUAGUCCCAUGA